CAGUCGCCGCGGUAAUACGUAGGGUGCAAGCGUUAAUCGGAAUUACUGGGCGUAAAGCGUGCGCAGGCGGUUUGUUAAGACAGAUGUGAAAUCCCCGGGCUCAACCUGGGAACUGCAUUUGUGACUGGCAGGCUAGAGUAUGGCAGAGGGGGGUGGAAUUCCGCGUGUAGCAGUGAAAUGCGUAGAUAUGCGGAGGAACACCGAUGGCGAAGGCAGCCCCCUGGGCCAAUACUGACGCUCAUGCACGAAAGCGUGGGGAGCAAACAGGAUUAGAUACCCGCGUAGUCCCUGUCUCUUAUAA
RNAcentral lists this ribosomal RNA (301 nucleotides) under uncultured bacterium. RNAcentral describes it as "partial 16S ribosomal RNA". It matches the Rfam family "Bacterial small subunit ribosomal RNA", at positions 509 to 809 of the family's 1533-position model. The record is from RNAcentral.